AGAGAGCACUUGGAGCAGCCUGAUAGAUGACCGAAGAAGCUUAUCGCUGGAGAAGCUCGGGAGAUGCGGCAGGAGUUCGUCCGUCAGGAGAAUCCGUUCGACACUUGUGGAAGAAGCUGUGGGAGUUUAACCAUCGGCAGAACUUGGGAACAUUGCGGAAGCUCGGCCGUCGGAGAGGUUCAGAAAGAUGUCGCCCAAGGUUGGACGUUGGCAGAGUCCCGGGAGGGUCACUCCUGGCACGAACUUUGGCUGGGAGGUAUUUUAUACCCAACACCAGUCCCCCUACUUUCGAGUUCGAGUUUCGAAUG
Molecule: long non-coding RNA, 308 nt
Filed under: Elaeis guineensis (African oil palm)
Lineage: Eukaryota; Viridiplantae; Streptophyta; Magnoliopsida; Arecales; Arecaceae
Description: long non-coding RNA (EGUI_LNC059579)
Source: RNAcentral